CAGCAGCACGGUCAGGUGGACUGGGGACAGCAAGGAGUCAUCAUGUCAGGUAGUCCUGGGUCUAGGACUCGCAACCAUCUCAAAUUCCAAAGUAACGUGCUUUGAACUUCAGAGUAGGUUCCCUGUUAAAGGAAUCAUCUCCGGGGUGUCUAUGGCAGUUGAGAAUGAAUACCUCAAGUCAUCUCCGGGUGUCAAUGGCAGUUGAGAAUGAAUACCUCAAGUCAUCUCAGGGGUGCCUAUGGCAGUUGAGAAUGAAUACCUCAAGUCAUCUCCGGGGUGUCUAUGGCAGUUGAGAAUAAAUACCUCAAGUCAUCUCCGGGGUGUCUAUGGCAGUUGAGGCUGAAUACCUCGAGAAAAUAAUCUAAGGUGUGGUUGGUGCCCAUUGCCUGAGGUGAUUGGUGAAUGGAGGAAAAGGGAAGAAGAAAGUCUAUGGUUCUAUUGUUUUUUGAUAAAGAGCAUCUCCCUACAUGUGAAGCUAGGUAAGGUAUCCAUUCACCUCCCUACAUGUGAAGCUAGGCUAGGUAAGGUAUGGAUUUACCUCCCUACAUGUGAAGCUAGGUAAGGUAUGCAUUCACCUCCCUACAUGUGAAGCUAGGCUAGGUAAGGUAUCCAUUCACCUCCCUACAUGGGAAGCUAGGUAAGGUAUGCAUUCACCUCCCUACAUGUGAAGCUAGGUAAGGUAUGCAUUCACCUCCCUACAUGUGAAGCUAGGUAAGGUAUGCAUUCACCUCCCUACAUGUGAAGCUAGGUAAGGUAUGCAUUCACCUCCCUACAUGUGAAGCUAGGUAAGGUAUGCAUUCACCUCCCUACAUGUGAAGCUAGGUAAGGUAUGCAUUCACCUCCCUACAUGUGAAGCUAGGUAAGGUAUGCAUUCACCUCCCUACAUGUGAAGCUAGGUAAGGUAUGCAUUCACCUCCCUACAUGUGAAGCUAGGUAAGGUAUGCAUUCACCUCCCUACAUGUGAAGCUAGGUAAGGUAUGCAUUCACCUCCCUACAUGUGAAGCUAGGCUAGGUAAGGUAUGCAUUCACCUCCCUACAUGUGAAGCUAGGUAAGGUAUGCAUUCACCUCCCUACAUGUGAAGCUAGGCUAGGUACGGUAUGCAUUCACCUCCCUACAUGUGAAGCUAGGUAAGGUAUGCAUUCACCUCCCUACAUGUGAAGCUAGGUAAGGUAUGCAUUCACCUCCCUACAUGUGAAGCUAGGCUAGGUAAGGUAUGCAUUCACCUCCCUACAUGUGAAGCUAGGCUAGGUACGGUAUGCAUUCACCUCCCUACAUGUGACGCUAGGUAAGGUAUGCAUUCACCUCCCUACAUGUGAAGCUAGGCUAGGUAAGGUAUCCAUUCACCUCCCUACAUGUGAAGCUAGGCUAGGUAAGGUAUGCAUUCACCUCCCUACAUGUGAAACUAGGCUAGGUAAGGUAUGCAUUCACCUCCCUACAUGUGAAGCUAGGUAAGGUAUGCAUUCACCUCCCUACAUGUGAAGCUAGGCUAGGUAAGGUAUGCAUUCACCUCCCUACAUGUGAAGCUAGGUAAGGUAUGCAUUCACCUCCCUACAUGUGAAGCUAGGCUAGGUAAGGUAUGCAUUCACCUCCCUACAUGUGAAGCUAGGCUAGGUAAGGUAUGCAUUUACCUCCCUACAUGUGAAGCUAGGCUAGGUAAGGUAUACAUUGAGAAUGUUUGUUGUCAGUCGAGAGAACCGGGGACGAUGUGUGUGGAAAACGGUGUAUUUUAUGCUAGUUGCCCCAGUAAAUAAUUGUACAGCACAAGAGUCGAAGGAGUCGAAGAAACUGGACAUAUUGUCGCUGCGGCAGAAAAGUUGCUGGGUUUGCAAGAGUUCAUAGCUGAAGACCUAAAAAUGCUACUGGCAGGUACUGAAGAUUUUCCACCCUCCCAGGUUCCUGAGCCUCAGUAGGGAUUGGCUUUGCUGUUUUUAACAGAAUAAAAUAGGAUGUUUUUGUUCAGUUUUUUGUUGUUGCCGUUGGUAGUCUGUAUGGAUUUCUCCCCAACCCCCAACUCCCACAAUGCUCCUGUUUUGUGAGAUCUUUUUGUUUUCAUCCCACACAGUAGGUGGUGGCGUGCCCCUCUGUUUGUUUGCGGACUGCCAUAAUACCAUAGAAGAAGAACAGCUAGCUACAAGACAACAGCGUUAAAAUCGAGCUGGUAAUUAUUUUCAUCCCGGGAGCUGCACUAAAACACUGACGCCAGAGAAGAAGGAGCCCUAGUCAGACACAGGUGGUGUGCAUACCAUCCACCGCUUCAGAGUACAUUAUUCGUUAACGUUCAGUCCCUGGACAAUAAAGAAGACAAGCUCAGGGCGAGGAUCUCCUUCCAGAGAGACAUCAGGGACUGUAACAUACUCUGUUUUACGGAAUAGUGUCUCUCUCUGGAUAUAUUGUCUCCCGUCCAUUCAGCCCGUCCAUCGCUCCGACAGGAAGAAAGAAUUCCCCAGGAAAAAUCUAAUCACAUUUAAUUGGUCACAUAUUCAGCAGAUGUUAUUGUGGGUGUAGCGAAAUGCUUGUAUUCCUAGCUCCAACAGUGUAAUAAUAUCUAACAGUAAUACACAUGAAUCUAAAAGUAAAAGAGCAAGAUGUAUAUGUGAUGUAUAGAUAUUAUGGACAGUAUGUGGAAAGAAUAUUUUGUAUAUCUGUAGAAUUCGUAGGAUAGAAUACAGCAUGUACAUAUGAAAUGAGUGUUCUCUUAUUAAAGUGAGGCGGAAGGGUUUGUUUCAUGAUUAACAA
Oncorhynchus tshawytscha (Chinook salmon) is the source of this 2737-nucleotide long non-coding RNA. RefSeq lists it as uncharacterized. The transcript is spliced from 2 exons. The record is from RefSeq and is a predicted model, not a curated record. NCBI's taxonomy places the organism in Eukaryota, Metazoa, Chordata, Actinopteri, Salmoniformes, Salmonidae.